CAUGAGAUAGGGAUUUGGAACAGGAAUGGGAUCAGGAUUGGAAUGGGAUCAAGAUCAGGAACAGGAUUGGGAACAGCAUUGGGAAGGGGAACAGGAAGAAGAAUAAGAAUGGGAAUGGGAAUGAGAUAAGGGUUGGGAACAGGAUUGGGAAUGGGAACGGGUUUGGGAACAGGAACCGUAACGAGAUAGAGAUUGGGAAUAGGAAUGGGAACCAGAAUCGGGAUGGUAAAGCUGUGACAUAAAUGGGUGCCUUGGCCGGGAAAUCUGAAAUUGGAGAAGCAAAAUCAGGAUGGGAACUGGAAUUCCAGAGGCUGGCAGUGUGAGCCAUGCAGGACCAUCCAGGCUGGGAUCAUGGGGCGGGGAUCACAUGGACUGGGAUCCUCCAGACUGGGACUGCACAGACUGGGACCAGGGGGAUCAGGGCCAUGCAGGCUGGGAUUGUACAAACUGGGAUCACAUGGACUGGGAUUGUACAAACCGGGAUGACAUGGAUGGGGAUUGUACAAACUGGGACCAUAUGGACCGGGAUGGCUACACCAGAACUACGGAAACCGAGGUGGUCCUGCCCCUCCCAGGGGUCCCUCCCAGUCCUGCCCAGUCUCGAGUUGUGUGCAGCCAAAACCCCGCAGGGAACGCAGAGGUCCCAGAGCACUCCUGGUGUCGAUCUCUGUCCUGGUACAAGUCUCAGGCUCAGUUUGGAGCAGUCCUGGAGCGCUCCUGGUGCUGGUUCUGGUCCCGGUCUGAAUCUUGAUCCUAGAGCAGUGAUGGUCUUGGUUUCAUUCUCGGUUCUAUAGUGGUGCCAGUUUUGGUGCCACUGCCGGUUCUGGUUUCAGUCUCGGUCUUGGUCUCAUAGUGGUUCCAGUCCCAGUGCUGGUACCGGUGCCAGUGUUGAUCCUGGAGUGCUCCCAGUGCCAGUCUCGGUCUCAGUCCCGGAGCUCUCCUGGUGCCCGUCCCAGUGUUGGGUGCUGGUCUCAGUCUUGGUCUCAGUACAAAUUCUGGGGAUGGUUUCAGUCUCAGUCUCCGUCCCAGUCUUAGUCCCAGUUCUGGAGCGGUGCUGGUCUCAGUUCUGGUGUCCGUUCUGUUCCCAGUCUUGGUCUCAGUCUCCGUUCUGGUGUUGGUCUCAGUAUUGGUGCUGGUCCUGGUCCUGGUGCUUGUCUCAGUCUUGGUUGAAAACACUUUAGGCCUAUUUCACUAAUUUUAUAAAAACUGGGAUUUUAGACUGGAGUUUAGGCCCCUUUCGAUGAUCUUAGGCCAGUUUUGAUGAUUUUAAGCCCCCUUCAUGUGGAUUUGAGUUUCCUUUGGCUGAUUUUAGGCCAAACCUGGUGGAUUUAGGCUACAUUUGAGGCCCUUUUUCGGUGAUUUUAGGCCGAACCAGGGCCCUUGAGGACCCUGUGGCACUUUGGCCCCGCCCCUUUCUCCUCACAGUUCCCGCCCUUCCCUUGACCCAUCCCCUCCCAGUUCGGGGUUCCGAAAGGGGCAGGAGGAGGAGGGAGGGAGGAAGAGGCGGAGCCGCAGCAGAAGCAGGAGGGGACAAGGAACGAUUCGAGCGCCAUCCCGGAGCUGCCUGAACUCGCAGCGCCCCUGGGACCAUCGCCCCCCAUCCCGCAGUCUCUUUACAGGAGAUGUCUGCAGAUGUGCCAGAGGCAGAGUCUGGGGUGCAUGUUCCUGGGUGGCCACUGAUGUUCUGUUAAUGGCCGCUGAUGGCCCUUGAGCAUUCCAGCUGCUCCCAGUGUGUUGAUGUGUUGAGUUCAUCUGACCCCACCUAGUGCAGCAAUGACCUGGACAUAAAAUUACAAGUCGUUUAGGACAAAGGCAAACAAAACCCCUUGAUUAAACCGAUAGAAAAACUUUUAAAAGGA
Molecule: long non-coding RNA, 1859 nt
Organism: Oenanthe melanoleuca
Lineage: Eukaryota; Metazoa; Chordata; Aves; Passeriformes; Muscicapidae
Exons: 2
Source: RefSeq, a predicted model, not a curated record